AUAAACAGAUAAAAUAUAACAACCAAAUAAAGCAAUUACAAAACCCAAUUACAAGACUAAAACAACAGGCCCAACUUCCACAUCAAAUGACCCAAACAAUAAAAAAACCUAAAGCCCACCUAGCCCAACAAACUAAACAUUUUCAGCAGCAAAAAAACCCUAGCCACUAAGUUUUCAGCCGCCACUCCCCUCACCCUUGGCCAUCACGCGCACCACCCACGCACGCCCCUCACCUCCUGGUGAGCCACCCACAUCUGACACACCUGCAACAAAGACAAAAACAACAGCAAGAGAAAGCAUGCGAGGGAUGGGGGAAGAAAUAAAAAAAGAACGAAAACAAAAAAAUAAAAGAUGAAUGUUUUGUAGAUCGGCCUUAAAAAGCCAAAAUCUAUCAUUUGUAAAGGGGGGAUUUUACAAAGAUUGAAAAAGAGACAAUCACAAAAAUCCCUCCGAACUUCGAAUACAAAGGAAAAAUCAAUAAAAAGUGGCCGGCGACGGCGGCGGCGUGACCAACGGCGGUGGCCCAGUGACCGGGAUUCCACUGGAGAAGAAAAGGCUUGAGAGGAUUUUAAGGGGGGU
This 579-nucleotide long non-coding RNA is filed under the name Gossypium barbadense (sea-island cotton). RNAcentral describes it as "long non-coding RNA (GBAR_LNC002880)". Lineage: Eukaryota; Viridiplantae; Streptophyta; Magnoliopsida; Malvales; Malvaceae. The record is from RNAcentral.